GCGAAAGUGGUGGAAUUGGCAGACACGUCAGACUUAGGAUCUGAUGCCGCAAGGCCUGGGGGUUCGAGUCCCCCCUUUCGCA
RNAcentral lists this transfer RNA (82 nucleotides) under Acidobacteriota bacterium. RNAcentral's name for it is "Acidobacteria bacterium tRNA-Leu". It matches the Rfam family "tRNA". From Rfam's summary of the family: Transfer RNA (tRNA) molecules are approximately 80 nucleotides in length. Their secondary structure includes four short double-helical elements and three loops (D, anti-codon, and T loops). The record is from RNAcentral. Lineage: Bacteria; Pseudomonadati; Acidobacteriota. RNAcentral also lists the same sequence under 1 other name.